UCUGCUCUAUGAAACAAGUUGCCAAUAAAAUUUCUGUUCCAUUAUUGUAAAGCUCUUCUCAUUUGGGUAAGCAAGCUCAACACCCAUUCAUUAACAUUGUGUCUCUAUGUUCGUAUGUCCACCUCAUUGAUCCCAUCACAGGAGGGCCCAAACAUCUCGAAUCUAAAUGGAGAAGCUUUGGAAAUUCUAUUAAUCUGAAUCUGCAAUAACAAUCGGUAGUGGUCAGACGCAAUCCUGGCCAAAUGGUAGAGCUUAGUUUCUGGGAACA
RNAcentral lists this long non-coding RNA (268 nucleotides) under Elaeis guineensis (African oil palm). RNAcentral describes it as "long non-coding RNA (EGUI_LNC053562)". The record is from RNAcentral. Lineage: Eukaryota; Viridiplantae; Streptophyta; Magnoliopsida; Arecales; Arecaceae.